This 253-nucleotide ribosomal RNA is filed under the name uncultured bacterium. Its description in RNAcentral is "partial 16S ribosomal RNA". It matches the Rfam family "Bacterial small subunit ribosomal RNA", at positions 524 to 776 of the family's 1533-position model. The record is from RNAcentral.
CACGUAGGAUCCGAGCGUUAUCCGAAUUCACUGGGCGUAAAGCGCGUGCAGGCGGUACGGUAAGUUGGAUGUGAAAUCUCCUGGCUCAACUGGGAGAGGACGUUCAAUACUGUCGAACUAGAGGGCGGUAGAGGGAGGUGGAAUUCCCGGUGUAGUGGUGAAAUGCGUAGAUAUCGGGAGGAACACCAGAGGCGAAGGCGGCCUCCUGGACCGCACCUGACGCUCAGACGCGAAAGCUAGGGGAGCGAACGGG